AUAAUUAAAACAUAUGAGGUCAAUGGGCGAUCAAAAAGGCCCAUAGCCUAGGCGGUGACCUCCAUUUCACUUUGGAGGAGUGCCUUCCUAAAGACGAUCCAAGUGGUCGAUCCUACAUCAUAAUUUGUGACAGCGGGGGCCUGCAUUUGCACGGCCUCU
RNAcentral lists this small nuclear RNA (159 nucleotides) under Solanum tuberosum (potato). RNAcentral describes it as "U1 spliceosomal RNA". It matches the Rfam family "U1 spliceosomal RNA". Rfam says of the family: U1 is a small nuclear RNA (snRNA) component of the spliceosome (involved in pre-mRNA splicing). Its 5' end forms complementary base pairs with the 5' splice junction, thus defining the 5' donor site of an intron. The record is from Rfam by way of RNAcentral. Lineage: Eukaryota; Viridiplantae; Streptophyta; Magnoliopsida; Solanales; Solanaceae.